This 253-nucleotide ribosomal RNA is filed under the name uncultured bacterium. RNAcentral describes it as "partial 16S ribosomal RNA". It matches the Rfam family "Bacterial small subunit ribosomal RNA", at positions 524 to 776 of the family's 1533-position model. The record is from RNAcentral.
UACGGAGGAUCCGAGCGUUAUCCGGAUUUAUUGGGUUUAAAGGGAGCGUAGGUGGGUUGUUAAGUCAGUUGUGAAAGUUUGCGGCUCAACCGUAAAAUUGCAGUUGAAACUGGCAGUCUUGAGUACAGUAGAGGUGGGCGGAAUUCGUGGUGUAGCGGUGAAAUGCUUAGAUAUCACGAAGAACUCCGAUUGCGAAGGCAGCUCACUGGACUGCAACUGACACUGAGGCUCGAAAGUGUGGGUAUCAAACAGG